AAAUAGCCCCGAUUGCAGCGGCAUCCUUUUUUCUUUUGUCUGGAGAAAGCCUUGGAAAAGAAAAAAGAUAUAGCGGAAAGCGGGAUAAAGC
RNAcentral lists this small RNA (91 nucleotides) under Epilithonimonas hominis. RNAcentral's name for it is "Chryseobacterium hominis Flavo-1 RNA". It matches the Rfam family "Flavo-1 RNA". Lineage: Bacteria; Pseudomonadati; Bacteroidota; Flavobacteriia; Flavobacteriales; Weeksellaceae. The record is from RNAcentral.